This is a long non-coding RNA of Microcebus murinus (gray mouse lemur), 344 nucleotides long. RefSeq lists it as uncharacterized. The record is from RefSeq and is a predicted model, not a curated record. Lineage: Eukaryota; Metazoa; Chordata; Mammalia; Primates; Cheirogaleidae.
CCUGCCACUACACCACAUGGGCUGCGGUACAGAGUCGAGUCCACAGGCCACCGCUGCCGGCCCCUCCGACUAGGUCUCACGUGACGUUGAGCUUCUGCUCUCUGGUCUGGAGGAGACACGGGAGCUGGAAGGGCAAGUUAGACACACAGGUGCCACUGACGAAAUCCAAACUGCAGGAAACGAUGUCACAGCCACCCGAGUUCUCCAACACUUGAAUUGCAGGGAAAAACCAGGCUGGUAGAGGAAUCCGUAGAUCAAAAGAGACUUAAGAGACAUGUCAGUUAAUUGCAAUUGAUAUAUCUGGAUCUUCAUUCAAAUAAAAACUGAUAAAAAUGAUAAUCUGA